Molecule: ribosomal RNA, 443 nt
Filed under: uncultured bacterium
Lineage: Bacteria
Description: partial 16S ribosomal RNA
Rfam family: Bacterial small subunit ribosomal RNA
Source: RNAcentral
CCUACGGGUGGCAGCAGUGGGGAAUAUUGGGCAAUGGAGGCAACUCUGACCUAGCAACGCCGCGUGAAUGAUGAAGGUCUUCGGAUUGUAAAGUUCUUUUCUAAGGGAAGAAGAAAGUGACGGUACCUUAGGAAUAAGCCUCGGCUAACUACGUGCCAGCAGCCGCGGUAAUACGUAGGAGGCAAGCGUUAUCCGGAAUGACUGGGCGUAAAGGGUGCGUAGGUGGUUUGACAAGUUAGUAGCGCAACUCCGGAGCUCAACUUCGGAACUACUACUAAAACUGUUGGACUUGAGUGCAGGAGGGGCAAUCGGAAUUCCUAGUGUAGCGGUGGAAUGCGUAGAUAUCACGAAGAACUCCGAUUGCGAAGGCAGCUUACUAAACUGCCACUGACAUUGAUGCUCGAAAGUGUGGGUAUCAAACAGGAUUAGAUACCCCUGUAGUC